AUUGGUGAUGGAUUGGUUUUUAGGAUUUGAAUUGAGAUUUGUUAAUGGGUUUGGGGGUUAUUAGAGGGGAAUGAGAGAUGGUUUUGGAUGGCAACGUUAGAGUUGAUGAUUUGGGGUUUGUUGUUUCAGAUUUGAUGAAUUUGGGGGGGUUUUGCGUGUGAGUUGUGGAUGCACUUCCAUAAAAAAAAGGUUUGUUUCACAUGUCUUGAAACAAUAGAGAAAUGCUUAUUUCAGUGAAUAAGAAAAUGCUUCUACAUGUAUGAUUUGUACAUGAUCUUGUGCUUAUUCUGUGAAUCAAAAAUGCAUCUACAAGUAUAAUUUACACAUGAUCUUGUGCUUAUUUCAGUUUUAUUAUUACCAUUUGGUUAUUAGCAUUGGAAUAUUGGUAUCAAUUGAUCUAUCAUUGCCUCUUUGGGAUAGCUAUGUUGUGCAUGUAUCUAGUUGUCAUGCUAGUUGAUGGGAGUUGCAUAUAAUUUUUCUUUUUCUUUUAAUUAUUGAAUUUCUACUCUGAUGUUUCUUCUUUUAUGUAUUUGUUUAAAACAUUUUUUGAGGUGUAGAGAGAUGUGGCUUGUAGGCAUUCUUGAUGACUUGGACCAAAGAAAUGUUUAUGAGUACUUAAAAGGAAUGGUGAAUUGUCAUAGGAUGCAUCUUUUUGAUGUUGUUAAUCAAUAUAGAGCCAUAUUCUCCGAUGAUACAUCUGGAAGUGAAGAGAACUAUGAUGGUGGCCUUCUUUUUAGUUAGGCUAUGCAUCAAAUUACUUCUCACCUGAACACUUUAAAGACCAUGCUCCCCAAGAUUACUAAAGGUAGAUCACUUUCAAAUAUCCUUGAUCAGUGCAUGGAGGGAUAGCUUCCAAUGAUGUGUAUCAAGAUCAGAUUCAAACCCAGACUUGUACAAGUCAGCUAAUGCACCUGCCACCACAUGUGCCAACAUGGCAAACAGGAGGAACGAUUGGAAUCAGCACCAGGUAUAAUUGAUUAACCGUCUGAUAAUGGACUUUUCCCUUCCAGACACAACCUGAGCAAAGGCGGUAGUACAAUCAUUGGUGGAACUAUAGCAUCUGAUUUUGAUAUAAGAGAUGUAAUUUAUAGCUGAGGUAUUGUUGGUGCUUCAUUAGAAGAAGAGAUUGUCUUCUUUUUUUUGCAUUACUUUAAUAUUGUAGUUUUCUUUUCUUCUGCUUUAUAAUUUCAAAUUGUGUGUCAAAUAUUUGGA
This is a long non-coding RNA of Magnolia sinica, 1212 nucleotides long. RefSeq lists it as uncharacterized. NCBI's taxonomy places the organism in Eukaryota, Viridiplantae, Streptophyta, Magnoliopsida, Magnoliales, Magnoliaceae. The transcript has 3 exons. The record is from RefSeq and is a predicted model, not a curated record.